GCCUACGGCCAGACUGGGCUGAUGGCACCUGAUCCUGUCCGAUGCGGAAACUAAGCAGUCCUGGGCCUGGCUAGUACCUGGAUGGGAGACCGCCCAGGAAUCCCAGGUGCUGUAGGCC
This 118-nucleotide ribosomal RNA is filed under the name Alligator mississippiensis (American alligator). The record is from RNAcentral. Lineage: Eukaryota; Metazoa; Chordata; Crocodylia; Alligatoridae.